This 301-nucleotide ribosomal RNA is filed under the name uncultured bacterium. RNAcentral's name for it is "partial 16S ribosomal RNA". It matches the Rfam family "Bacterial small subunit ribosomal RNA", at positions 509 to 807 of the family's 1533-position model. The record is from RNAcentral.
CAGCCGCCGCGGUAAUACGAAGGGGGCUAGCGUUGUUCGGAUUUACUGGGCGUAAAGGGCGCGUAGGCGGACUGAUAAGUCAGGGGUGAAAUCCCAAGGCUCAACCUUGGAACUGCCUUUGAUACUGUUUGUCUUGAGUUCGAGAGAGGUAAGUGGAACUGCGAGUGUAGAGGUGAAAUUCGUAGAUAUUCGCAAGAACACCAGUGGCGAAGGCGGCUUACUGGCUCGAAACUGACGCUGAGGCGCGGAAGCGUGGGGAGCAAACAGGAUUAGAUACCCGGGUAGUCCCUGUCUCUUAUAC